RNAcentral lists this ribosomal RNA (506 nucleotides) under uncultured bacterium. RNAcentral's name for it is "partial 16S ribosomal RNA". It matches the Rfam family "Bacterial small subunit ribosomal RNA", at positions 30 to 523 of the family's 1533-position model. The record is from RNAcentral.
AUUGAACGCUGGCGGCAGGCCUAACACAUGCAAGUCGAACGGUAACAGGAAACAGCUUGCUGUUUCGCUGACGAGUGGCGGACGGGUGAGUAAUGUCUGGGAAACUGCCUGAUGGAGGGGGAUAACUACUGGAAGCGGUAGCUAAUACCGCAUAACGUCGCAAGACCAAAGAGGGGGACCUUCGGGCCUCCUGCCAUGGGAUGUGCCCAGAUGGGAUUAGCUAGUAGGUGGGGUAACGGCUCACCUAGGCGACGAUCCCUAGCUGGUCUGAGAGGAUGACCAGCCACACUGGAACUGAGACACGGUCCAGACUCCUACGGGAGGCAGCAGUGGGGAAUAUUGCACAAUGGGCGCAAGCCUGAUGCAGCCAUGCCGCGUGUAUGAAGAAGGCCUUCGGGUUGUAAAGUACUUUCAGCGGGGAGGAAGGGAGUAAAGUCAAUACCUUUGCUCAUUGACGUUACCCGCAGAAGAAGCACCGGCUAACUCCGUGCCAGCAGCCGCCGUAA